This 1195-nucleotide ribosomal RNA is filed under the name human metagenome. RNAcentral's name for it is "bacterial LSU rRNA". It matches the Rfam family "Bacterial large subunit ribosomal RNA", at positions 1285 to 2487 of the family's 2925-position model. The record is from RNAcentral.
GAAGUGAGAAUGCCGGUAUGAGUAGCGAAAGACGGGUGAGAAUCCCGUCCACCGAAUAACUAAGGUUUCCUGGGGAAGGCUCGUCCUCCCAGGGUUAGUCGGGACCUAAGGCGAGGCCGAUAGGCGUAGUCGAUGGACAACAGGUUGAUAUUCCUGUACUUCUAUAAAUCGUUUGAGCAAUGGAGGGACGCAGGAGGCUAAGAAAAGCGUACGACUGGAAGUGUACGCCCAAGCAGUGAGUCGGCUGAUGAGUCAAAUGCUUAUCACAGAUGCGACAAGCUGUAACGGGGAGGGAAGUUUAGUACCGAAGUUUCUGAUGUCACACUGCCGAGAAAAGCUUCUAGCAAGAUUUAUAGGACCCGUACCGCAAACCGACACAGGUAGUUGAGGAGAGAAUCCUAAGGUGAGCGAGCGAACUCUCGUUAAGGAACUCGGCAAAAUGACCCCGUAACUUCGGGAGAAGGGGUGCUGACAGAAAUGUCAGCCGCAGUGAAUAGGCCCAGGCGACUGUUUAUCAAAAACACAGGUCUCUGCAAAAUCGAAAGAUGACGUAUAGGGGCUGACGCCUGCCCGGUGCUGGAAGGUUAAGAGGAGAGGUUAGCGCAAGCGAAGCUUUGAAUUGAAGCCCCAGUAAACGGCGGCCGUAACUAUAACGGUCCUAAGGUAGCGAAAUUCCUUGUCGGGUAAGUUCCGACCCGCACGAAAGGCGUAACGAUUUGGGCACUGUCUCAACGAUGGACUCGGUGAAAUCAUAGUACCUGUGAAGAUGCAGGUUACCCGCGACAGGACGGAAAGACCCCAUGGAGCUUUACUGUAGUUUGAUAUUGAGUGUUUGUGUCACAUGUACAGGAUAGGUAGGAGCUGAAGAAUCCGGGACGCCAGUUUCGGAGGAGGCAACGGUGGGAUACUACCCUUGUGACAUGACCACUCUAACCCGCACCCCUUACCGGGGUGGGAGACAGUGUCAGACGGGCAGUUUGACUGGGGCGGUCGCCUCCUAAAAUGUAACGGAGGCGCCCAAAGGUUCCCUCAGAAUGGUUGGAAAUCAUUCGAAGAGUGUAAAGGCAGAAGGGAGCUUGACUGCGAGACCUACAAGUCGAGCAGGGACGAAAGUCGGGCUUAGUGAUCCGGUGGUUCCGCAUGGAAGGGCCAUCGCUCAACGGAUAAAAGCUACCCUGGGGAUAACAGGCUUAUC